Molecule: non-coding RNA, 666 nt
Organism: Camelina sativa (false flax)
Lineage: Eukaryota; Viridiplantae; Streptophyta; Magnoliopsida; Brassicales; Brassicaceae
Source: RefSeq, a predicted model, not a curated record
UAUAGUAUGUGAGAUCCUUCCUGCAUCGCCGCCAAGGAUCUUCUUCGUCUUGCUUUGUUAUUCGAUCUAGUCUUAGAUUUUCGUUUAUAUUAUUCAUUCAUUGUUCAAUUAGGUUAAGGCUUAAUUAGUGUAGUGUUAUUGCCUAAAUUGAUUACAACAACCUUUUUUGAGUUAGGAUUAUAACUUAAAAGUAUGGUACAGAGAGAGAGAGACAGAGAGAGAGCAGAUGAUGGGAUACACUUGAUCUCUGAACUUCACAGGUAAGUUUGCUUGUUGAUAACUACUGGUUUUGCUGAUGCUCUCUCUCUCUCUCUCUCACACACUCUCUGCACCUGAUUCUUUUAUUCCUGAGAUUGCUCCAUGUGAGACGUUGCUGUGAUUAACAAUCAGGUAGUCAGAGUGGAGCAAGUGCGUGAGUGACAUGAUUCAGAAUGAGCUAAGCACCAAUUGCUGCAUUUGGGAGAUGAAGCAUAAUAAUAAUCUCUGCAGUUCUGCAUUAGGUUACAUUCAUUCAAGUUCUAGAUAUGAAUUUAAUCAACUGAUGUAGUAUAUGAUAUCAGUGUUUUGAAAAGUUGUAUGUUUAACCCUGAAAGCUUGUUGAUUCAUGAAGUAACUAUGGUUGAUGUUUAUACAAGAAUGAAUCAAUUAUACAUACAAAUUUCUUAA